UUUAAAUGCAAGAAUAAAUUUUCGUGCCUAACUUUAAUCGUCGUCUUAUUUAAUUUUUUUAAAUUAAUACUUUUAUUGUUAUGAGAUGAUAAAAUAUGAAUAAUACUUUUUACGUAACUUAUGUUUUUUUAACUUUUUUAAGAAAAACUUUUUAAAUAAAAUGGACGGUUAAAUGUGUACAUGAAAAAUCAUGACUGUAUUUAAA
This is a non-coding RNA of Oryza glumipatula, 205 nucleotides long. The record is from Rfam. NCBI's taxonomy places the organism in Eukaryota, Viridiplantae, Streptophyta, Magnoliopsida, Poales, Poaceae.